RNAcentral lists this ribosomal RNA (880 nucleotides) under Candidatus Magasanikbacteria bacterium RIFCSPLOWO2_12_FULL_34_7. RNAcentral's name for it is "bacterial LSU rRNA". It matches the Rfam family "Bacterial large subunit ribosomal RNA", at positions 2006 to 2910 of the family's 2925-position model. Lineage: Bacteria; Candidatus Magasanikiibacteriota. The record is from RNAcentral.
GAUUUGGAGACUGUCUUAACCAUGUACUCGGCGAAAAUGCAAGUGUCGUGAAGAUGCGACAUAACCGCAGUUAGACGAAAAGACCCCGUGAAGCUUUACUACAGUUUGACAUUGGUAUAUUGUUUCAUCUGUUCAGCAUAGGUGGGAGUUCGCCGCAAGGCGAACGCCAGUGAGAUACCACCCUUAUGUUUUGAUAUACCUAAUCUUCCGGUCUGAAUCGGCUGGGAGAGACAGUGUCUGAUGGGUAGUUUAACUGGGGCGGUUGCCUCCUAAAAUAUAACGGAGGCGUUUACAAAGGUUGGCUUAUCCCGGAUGGAAAUCGGGAUGGACGUGCAAACGCAAAAGCCAGCUUUACUGCAAGGGUUACAGUCCGAGCAGUUACGAAAGUAGAAGUUAGUGAUCCGACCGUACGAUAUAGGACGGCGGAAGCUCAACGGAUAAAAGCUACUCCGGGGAUAACAGGCUGAUCGCGCCCAAGCGUCCACAGCGACGGCGCGGUUUGGCACCUCGAUGUCGGCUCAUCGCAUCCUGGGGCUGGAGAAGGUCCCAAGGGUUUGGCUGUUCGCCAAUUAAAGCGGUACGCGAGCUGGGUUCAGAACGUCGUGAGACAGUUCGGUCUCCUAUCUGCUGUGGUCGUCGAAUAUUGAAGGAGCUCAUUCCUAGUACGAGAGGACCGGAAUGAACAAACCUCUGGUGUACCAAUUGUCAUGCCAAUGGCAUAGUUGGGUAGCUAAGUUUGGCAUAGAUAAGCGCUGAAAGCAUCUAAGCGCGAAGCUAUUCCUAAGAUUAAUAUUCAUUUGAGAUCUGUCCGAGACUAGGACGUUGAUAGGCGCUAGGUGUAAGCUCUGCAAAGAGUUGAGCCGAGGCGUACUAAUCGAUC